UUUCUCUUCUUCACUUCCUGUCAGGAAUCUAUCCGCGUUUCUUCUAUGUUUCGAAGCAGUGCUCCACGUAUUGUCCAAAGCCGAACGUCCGCGAGCCGGAAUUCAGAGAAGGCGGACGAGCAAGCCGCUUGAGGAGCAGCGGGGCCUGGCUGGCCGCCUUCCUGACUCUGUCCUCUGUGUGAGGGGCCUCGGGCGGUGCCUUGGGAGCGCGGCACCGAUGACCCGGACUCGCCGCAGGUGAUGGGAACCUCAGCAUUAAACCUGUUUUCCGCUGGUUAA
Herpailurus yagouaroundi (jaguarundi) is the source of this 279-nucleotide long non-coding RNA. RefSeq lists it as uncharacterized. The record is from RefSeq and is a predicted model, not a curated record. NCBI's taxonomy places the organism in Eukaryota, Metazoa, Chordata, Mammalia, Carnivora, Felidae. The transcript has 2 exons.